ACUCCUACGGGAGGCAGCAGUGGGAAUAUUGCACGAAUGGGGGAAACCCUGAUGCAGCCAUGCCGCGUGUGUGAAGAAGGCCUUCGGGGUUGUAAAAGCACUUUUCAGUAGGGAGGAAGGUAGUGUAGUUAACACCUGCACUAUUUGACGUUACCUAACAGAAGAAGCACCGGCUAACUCCGUGCCAGCAGCCGCGGUAAUAGCGGAGGGUGCGAGCGUUAAUCGGAAUUACUGGGCGUAAAAGCGCAUGCAGGC
This 255-nucleotide ribosomal RNA is filed under the name uncultured bacterium. RNAcentral describes it as "partial 16S ribosomal RNA". It matches the Rfam family "Bacterial small subunit ribosomal RNA", at positions 335 to 576 of the family's 1533-position model. The record is from RNAcentral.